AUGACCUCCUCCGCCUUCUAUGCUAGUCACCACCACUCGCUCCCGCGCGAGAUGCAGGAGAGCGCGCACGAGGCAGCCGCAGUUCGGCCUCUCCAUCUUCUCCGACCGCUGCAAACCAUGGUGGAAGGUGGGCGGACGAGCUCCUCUCCAUCUUCUCCGCCCGCUGCGGGGAGAGAAGGUUACGGGCAGGUCGAGAUGGAGCAACGCCGGUCGCCUCCGGAUGCGGCGGCUCUAGCGAGAUGGGAAGAGUGGAGGGAGGCGGCAGCUGUGCUGGGAGUAGAGAGCGCCGAGCGGGGAAGGAGGGACGCGGGGACCGCUCCGACCCGGCCGCCCUCCAUAGGGUCGCCGCCGAGGCGCGUGGAUGGAGGAGGAGACGAGGACGCGGCUAGGGUUCGCGGGGAAGAUGCGGUCUGCGCGGUCUCGCUCCUGCCCGCGCUGCCUGCCUUUUUGGCCCGCUGGGAAGACUAA
RNAcentral lists this ribosomal RNA (468 nucleotides) under Triticum aestivum (bread wheat). RNAcentral describes it as "partial small subunit ribosomal RNA". The record is from RNAcentral. Lineage: Eukaryota; Viridiplantae; Streptophyta; Magnoliopsida; Poales; Poaceae.